GUCCAAAUGAAGCGUCUUGAGCAACUUGGGAAUGUCAAUAUGUAGAUGUAUACCAGCAAUAUCCCAUAAUCCUCCAAGGACUCGCUUGGAAACUCUCCAAAUGAAAGACAAGCGCCCAUGCCAUUUUUGGCCAAUUCGAAUUAUAGCUGCUUUUAGUGAUUCCUUCGGCGAGAUGAAAAAUCGUGCACGCAAAACAUCCUUACUGAUUUUGGGGACCACACCAUCACCCACUGACUCACUGUUCUUUGAACUUCCCAGUGAAGACUCAGAGGGCUCAUUGUUUGAAUAUAAUAGAGAGUUACCACUCUUAGCUCCAUCACUUAACCAGUCCAACCAUGGUUUUGUAGCAACAGUAACUGAA
RNAcentral lists this unclassified non-coding RNA (361 nucleotides) under Hevea brasiliensis (rubber tree). The record is from RNAcentral. Lineage: Eukaryota; Viridiplantae; Streptophyta; Magnoliopsida; Malpighiales; Euphorbiaceae.